GGCUGAAAUAAAUCAACAUAACAGAGUUUUAGAACAAAUAAUCAAUAUAAAGAUAAUUAAAAGUAAAUACAUAAUCUGAAAUAAUUUGGGGGAAAUAAUUCAGGAACAGAAUGAAGAGGGAAACCCUCAGGUUCUCCUCGAAAUAUUGUAAGUGAGUCAGAAAACAGGACCAGUAAUGGCAGAGGCAGAAGAGCGGCAGGAGACGGCGGUUACCCCACAGCAGAACGCUGCUCUGUGAGAAUCCCCCAGCAGGUACCCCAUUCCAGCUGUGGUUCGCCUACAGGCAGUCAGCCUCCCUGAACCUCUGCAGAGGGCAGGGAUAGUAGAUCUGCCCUUUAAGACCCAUGCAGAGGUGCUGAAAUGACAGUAUUGGUACUCUGGAUACAAUGGAAAGUUCAUUAGGGCUGAUAUUAAUGGUAGUCACUGUCAUAUUUUCAGUUGCUUUCAGCAGUAUUUGGGCCCCAGGAUACUGAUGUUUGCUCAAUACAUGAGCCUGCAGAAGUAACUGGGAGCAAACACCUGAUAUCAGUAUUAAGCAUGUGGUGCCGAGAACAAUAUGUUACAGAAUACUGCAGACCCACUUAAAUCAUUCUUUUGUCUAAGAAUGUGGGGUGUUCAGUGGAUAAGUGAGAGUCCAUGGAUUUUGCUCUAUGGCUGAUGAAAGGAACGUGAUGUGUGACAUUUAGCACCGGUGUCAGGAAUGGCUCUCCUGUUGGCAAACUUAUUUCGCACGUGCCUAUUCAUCAUCUAUCCUGGGCACCUCACUCAGGUCCUCAUGAGUCCCCUGUCUUCUCAGCAAGCAUUACCUCUCUACUCAGACCAAGGCCUUGUGAGGGAUGGAGGGUCACUAAGAUGCACUUCCUGUCCUGAAGACAUUGUCAGUCUCCUGGGGAAGACGGACUUCAAGAGAACAAAGACGAACACUGGAUCCCUACUGGAUUUGGAGGUCUACAGAGAGGGCUGCAUUUUGUCCAGAAUUUGGAAGCUUAUCAGACACAGGGGCCAGGAACAGAAGCCUCCCACAAGCCCAGAAGGACAUACUUAAUGCACAGCACUGAUUGCUACAGGGACCAAGAUGGGGACUUACAGAUUCCAAGUGGUCACACUGAAGGAACUCCGAUGUGUUUCUUCAUCUUUACCUUCACUGUGCAGUCGCUGCGUAGGUCAUAUCUGCUGCAUCCAUGCAGGAACAGGAAUGUGUAGCUCCGUAGGGCUGAGGAUCCCAGCAGUGCCUGAAGCAAGCUUGAAUGAUCCAGGGCCCUGACAAACGUCUCUCAUGAUGCGCCUGUGGAAGCUCAGUCCAUGUGUGUCAGAGAUGACCAUAUUGCUGGGAGUUCUCUGAACUGACACGGUGUUUAUUAAGUUAUCAGUAAUGACUACAUGCUCACCUGAAGCUCAUGUACCUAUCACUGAAGCUUUGGUAACUGCAGCAAUUGUUCAGAACUCUCACCAGAAAAGAUUUUGUGGGAAAAGAGCAUGUCAUGAUUGACAUUGUGGGGAAUUCCUAGUGUGCAGUGACAAUAAAGAGCAGGCUCACUGGUGCUUGGUUUUAUUAUUGUUUUAAAAUCCCCCACAGAUGAUGAGCCCCCUUCUAGCCUGCGCCAGGGCAGACCCCUUGCUCACCCCGUCCUUGGUGCUCUGCUGGGAUGGCACUUCUCACUGCCCUUAUGUUAUUUUUUUGCCCCCAAGUUCCACUGAAUUCUGGUAUAACAUCUCCAAAAUCGAGCAGCAUGUCUCAAGAAUGAAAGCUGGAAUAAUUCAGAACAUAACCAUUGUGAGCCAAAGUCUCCCUUCUUGGUUUCUAAAGGGAUGAGAGAGAAAGCAAGGAUGUGUAUGUGUGUGCAAAUGUGACUGUGUGUUAGACGGCAAUGGGAACUGAAGGCUGUGGGGACAGAACCAGGAGAAAGAGGUUUUGUUGGAAACUUGAAUUCAGUAAGCAAUGUAUUUGGCUUCCCUAUGCCUUGCUUUCCUCCUCUACUAAAUGCCAGGGAGGCAUUGUGAGAAUUAAGAGAAAAUCUUCAUGAAGGCCUUCAGCACUUUAGCUGCCUGAGAAGCAAGUACUCAAUAAAAGCUAGCUCUGCAAUAACAAGGCUAUAAGCAUCUCUAUGUACGUCUCCUGGGAACAAAACCACAGAAAGACAUCGUGGCCACUAACUGGGGAGCCCACCAUGCUGACCGUGAGUCUGGCAUUGUUCCACCUUGAAGGCUUUUCCACUGAGCAUGACGGAGAUGUGCUGUUGUCAUGGUGCCACGACAUUAACCUCAUCCCACACAAGCUGUGGGGCAGUGACUCAUAGCGACAGGUGGCCAGGCGGUUUACACAAGGAGGGUGAGGUCUCUCAGAUCUUGGAGAAUUGAGCAUUAGACAGGUACAAGCACAGUUUAAGUA
This 2389-nucleotide long non-coding RNA is filed under the name Homo sapiens (human). RNAcentral describes it as "HSALNT0353583". The record is from RNAcentral. Lineage: Eukaryota; Metazoa; Chordata; Mammalia; Primates; Hominidae.